AUACGUAGGGGGCGAGCGUUGUCCGGAAUGAUUGGGCGUAAAGGGUGCGUAGGCGGCCCGGUAAGUCUGGAGUGAAAGUCCUGUUUUUAAGAUGGGAAUUGCUUUGGAUACUGUCGGGCUUGAGUGCAGGAGAGGUAAGUGGAAUUCCCAGUGUAGCGGUGAAAUGCGUAGAGAUUGGGAGGAACACCAGUGGCGAAGGCGACUUACUGGACUGUAACUGACGCUGAGGCGCGAAAGUGUGGGGAGCAAACAGGAUUAGAUACCCUGGUAGUCCACACUGUAAACGAUGAAUGCUAGGUGUAGGGGGUAUCGACCCCUUCUGUGCCGCAGUCAACACAAUAAGCAUUCCGCCUGGGGAGUACGGCCGCAAGGUUGAAACUCAAAUGAAUUGACGGGG
This 397-nucleotide ribosomal RNA is filed under the name uncultured bacterium. Its description in RNAcentral is "partial 16S ribosomal RNA". It matches the Rfam family "Bacterial small subunit ribosomal RNA", at positions 523 to 918 of the family's 1533-position model. The record is from RNAcentral.